Dipodomys ordii (Ord's kangaroo rat) is the source of this 107-nucleotide small nuclear RNA. The record is from Ensembl. Lineage: Eukaryota; Metazoa; Chordata; Mammalia; Rodentia; Heteromyidae.
GUGCCCGCUUCAGCAGCACAUAUACUAAAAUUGGAAUGAUACAGAGAAGAUUAGUAUGGCUCCUGCGCAAGGAUGACACACAAAUUCGUGAAGCGUUCCAUAUUUUU